GUCCCUGUAGCGUAAUGGACUUCUUAUCCAAAGGUCGUGGGUUCGAAUCCUACCUGGGAUG
Molecule: transfer RNA, 61 nt
Filed under: Trichonephila inaurata madagascariensis
Lineage: Eukaryota; Metazoa; Arthropoda; Arachnida; Araneae; Nephilidae
Rfam family: tRNA
About the family: Transfer RNA (tRNA) molecules are approximately 80 nucleotides in length.
Source: Rfam by way of RNAcentral